UGUGAGUAGUUCAGAGUUUUGAUCCUGGCUCAGGAUUAACGCUGGCGGCGUGCCUAAUACAUGCAAGUCGAACGGAGGCCUUCGGGCCUUAGUGGCGAACGGGUGAGUAAUACGUAGGUAACCUACCUUUAAGACGAGGAUAGCCAUUGGAAACGAUGGAUAAUACUGGAUAGGACAGUAAAUGAAGCAUUUCAAACUGUUUAAAGGGGAGACCCACUUAAAGAGGGGCCUGCGGCGCAUCAGCUAGUUGGUAGGGUAAAGGCCUACCAAGGCGAUGAUGCGUAGCCGGACUGAGAGGUUGAACGGCCACAAUGGAACUGAGAACGGUCCAU
This 332-nucleotide ribosomal RNA is filed under the name uncultured bacterium. RNAcentral describes it as "bacterial SSU rRNA". It matches the Rfam family "Bacterial small subunit ribosomal RNA", at positions 1 to 334 of the family's 1533-position model. The record is from RNAcentral.